This 21-nucleotide non-coding RNA is filed under the name Arabidopsis thaliana (thale cress). The record is from RNAcentral. Lineage: Eukaryota; Viridiplantae; Streptophyta; Magnoliopsida; Brassicales; Brassicaceae.
UCGCUGGCCUUGAAUCUGGAC